GGGUUAAUUUUGGUUUGUAUACCGCCGUUUAUUGAUUAUCUUUUUAGAGUAUCUUGAAUUUUCUGGUUUCUUUAAUUUGAUUUAUUGCAGGUCAAGGUGCAGCUUUUUCUAAGUGUAAUGAUGGAUUACAGUGGUAUGUGUUGUUUGGAUUGUUUGUUUAAAUAUGGGCAUGAAAUUGGAUUUGGUUGUAAUGUUUUGUAGAUUGUUUUCAUGAUAGUUGGUUCUAGGAUAUGUACACAU
This 240-nucleotide ribosomal RNA is filed under the name Odontotermes gurdaspurensis. RNAcentral's name for it is "partial 12S ribosomal RNA". Lineage: Eukaryota; Metazoa; Arthropoda; Insecta; Blattodea; Termitidae. The record is from RNAcentral.